AGAGUUUGAUUCUGGCUCAGGAUGAACGCUGGCGGCGUGCUUAACACAUGCAAGUCGAACGGAGUUUUUAAGUGGAAGUUUCGGAUGGAAGUUAAAAACUUAGUGGCGGACGGGUGAGUAACGCGUGGGUAACCUGCCUCAUACAGGGGAAUAACAGUUAGAAAUGACUGCUAAGACCGCAUAAUAUAGCGAAACCGCAUGAUUUUGCUAUCAAAUAUUUAUAGGUAUGAGAUGGGCCCGCGUCUGAUUAGCUAGUUGGUGGGGUAAAAGCCUACCAAGGCGACGAUCAGUAGCCGGCUUGAGAGAGUGACCGGCCACAUUGGGACUGAGACACGGCCCAAACUCCUACGGGAGGCAGCAGUGGGGAAUACUGGACAAGUGGGGGAAACCCUGAUCCAGCCGACGCCGCGUGAGUGAAGAAGUUAUUUCGGUAUGUAAAGCUCUAUCAGCAGGGAAGAUAAUGACAGUACCUGACUAAGAACGCCCCGGCUAACUACGUGCCAGCCGCCGC
This 511-nucleotide ribosomal RNA is filed under the name uncultured bacterium. RNAcentral's name for it is "bacterial SSU rRNA". It matches the Rfam family "Bacterial small subunit ribosomal RNA", at positions 8 to 518 of the family's 1533-position model. The record is from RNAcentral.